Long non-coding RNA from Phyllostomus discolor (pale spear-nosed bat), 1600 nucleotides. RefSeq lists it as uncharacterized. Lineage: Eukaryota; Metazoa; Chordata; Mammalia; Chiroptera; Phyllostomidae. The transcript is spliced from 2 exons. The record is from RefSeq and is a predicted model, not a curated record.
AUUUGAUUUGACCAUUGAUUUUUAAAAUAAAUGUUUGAAAAAUAGGCUUUUGUUGAGUGGUCAGUCUACUGACCACUGUCUACUUCUGGGGACCAAACAGUCUUGUACCAAGUGCGCCAGCAGGGAUUCUGCAGGUACCUCCCUUCACAUGUGCUGGACCAAAUUUGUGUUCUGAAAAUCAUCGAAUAGGUCUUUCUCCCACUUGCAUAUUAUUCACAUCAUCAUGACUGCACAGAAGUAUUUCCUUAAUUGGUUUUAAUCAUCUAGGACUUCUAACUCUUAACAAGAAAAAAAAAACAACUUUAAGCAUCUUCCCUAAAAAUGAACAUAAAAGCAGUUAUCCAAAUGACUAAACAAACAAACCUCAAGAAAAUGCAAAGUAGCUUCCUUGAAAUGUUUUAACAGUUUGGGAAUAAUGUAGGUAGCCAAUAUGAUAAUUCCAGAAAUACCUAUUAUUUGUAACUCAAGGAAAAAAUGUGGAAACAGUGUUAACAUAAGCAUGCCUACGCAAAAUUUUUAAAAAGUGAAAAACAAAGAAAUAAAGGCAGUGUCUUGUCUACAGAAGAUAAUGUAACAGAUAAUUUCUGUGGACAGAGGUUGUGAUUAAAAAUUUAAAAUACCCUCCCCUCUUAUAGCUGCAGGAAACAUAAGUUGGCUUGGUUAAAAAUAAAAGCCCCCAGGACACAAAGAGAGAAUGAUGGAGACUUUGCUCUCAGUGCUGUGCCCUUUCCCAGCUCCCUACAAAACCGCCUCCAGUCACAGAGGAGUAAUUUACUAAUCCUGAGAAUUGCUGAGCACUGGCAAAAAAUAAACAAAAAGAUCUUAACAUUCUCACCUUCUACCAGCUGAAACCGCUCUCUUGCUAUCAACAAUCAAGGGAAAAGGAAGGUCAAAGGUUGGAAAGCAGUCUUUAUUCAAACUCUGCCGGUAAUUUUAUCACCAUUAAAUGUUCCCCAGUUCUUCAAAGAAUGUAUACCUGCUGCUUCUCCCCACAGCAAACCAGAAAAUGGCUGCAGCUGCCAGAAAAAAUUCAUUCCACAGAUCACAGGGCAACCUUGGGAGAAAGCAGAGUCCCUGGCAGGUGCCCUGAGUACAAGUGACAGUGGGGAACAAGCUAACUGACUUCCUUACAGAUGUGGGAGGUUACCUAAUCAGCACUUAAUAGAAAACUAACCAGGAAAAGUUCAGCUGUGGUGUCAGUUACUGGAAUGAACAAUUACAAAAACAGGUGUUCCUUCAACCUCUAAAUGCCAGUCUGGGGAUCAAAAACUUUUGAUUAGUUUUCUUUACAUGCUAAACUGCCCCAUUCCAUUGCUAGGCCAAGAUUUACUUUGUAAAUUGCCUACACAAAUAACUUUUUCCCCUGAGAAGUAGGAAUUAAUGUUUAGGAGUCCCUUGGGAACAUGCUCUCUAGCUCCAGGUGCUCCAAAUUUGCCCAAAAGGACUCAGAGGUGAAAUCUUCCCACAUGAGAUCUACAAGCAGGUUGCUAGAGCCAUUUGGACUGAUGGAACCCAGGUAGGGCAAUUAACACCCAACCUGUAAAAAUUAACCUAAAGGAAGGGCAUGGAUCCCACUAAGAAAUAACACCCUCUUAAAAAA